RNAcentral lists this small nuclear RNA (107 nucleotides) under Choloepus hoffmanni (Hoffmann's two-fingered sloth). The record is from RNAcentral. Lineage: Eukaryota; Metazoa; Chordata; Mammalia; Pilosa; Megalonychidae.
CUGCUUAUUUUGGCAGCACAGAUACUAAAAUUGGAACAACACAGAGAAGAUUAGCAUGACCCCUGCACAAGGAUGACAUGCAAAUUCAUGAAGCAUACCAUAUUUUU